Long non-coding RNA from Canis lupus familiaris (dog), 3314 nucleotides. RefSeq lists it as uncharacterized. NCBI's taxonomy places the organism in Eukaryota, Metazoa, Chordata, Mammalia, Carnivora, Canidae. The record is from RefSeq and is a predicted model, not a curated record. The transcript has 10 exons.
CACUGAGCCACCCAGGCGUCCCUGGACUUCAGGCUUUGACCAUUAUAUGAUGCUGUCUACCUCUUGAGUGCAGAGGUGUGCCAUGUGGCACACUUAUUUGGAGGGUGAAGGAUGGAGCAACUCUGAAAGUUCUCUAGAAUAUGGGACUCAUCUUCCUCCAGUGUUUGGUAUCUCCUUCAAGAUCUAGUUCUACCCAGAGUGGCCUUUUGUUUUGUUUUAUUUGAAAUAUUUUAUUUAUUUAUUCAUGAGACAGAGAGAGAGAGAGAGAGAGAGGCAGAGACACAGGCAGAGGGAGAAGCAGACUCCAUGCAGGGAGCCCGAUGUGGGACUGGAUCCUGGGACACCAAGAUCACACCCUGGGCUAAAGGCAGAAGCUCAACUGCUGAGCCACCCAGGCAUCCCCCAGGGUGGCCUUUGGGAUGUAAUGACUUUCCAUCAACAUCAGCCAACCAAGAGUUUCUGUUGGACAGGAGGACAGAGGCUUCCUUGGUACUCAUUCUGCUGUCCAUUCAUUCAACAGAGGCUAUCAGAUUUCUAAUGUGUGCCAGGCACUGUGAACAAAAAACCCCAGACAACGACCCCUAUCCUCAUGGAGUUUAUAUGCUAUCAGGGAAGGCAAAAAUAAAAAAGAGAAACAUACAAAGUUAUGGGAACUUAAUGAUGAAUGCCAAGCAGAAACAAGGAAAACAGGAGGUGGAUGGGAGGUAUUGGAGACUGUAUUAGUUCCCUAUAGCUGCUGUAACAAAUCACUACACUUGCAGUGGCUUAAAACAGCCCAUAUUUAUUAUCUCACAGUUUGGGGGAGGUCUGAAGUCUAAAAUGAGUCUGGUCUGCAAGGCCGCAUUCCUUCAGGCAGCUCCAGGGGAGAAUCCAUUUAUUUGCCUUCUCCGGGGUUUUAGGGCUACUCGCAUUCCUUGUUCCUGGCCCUGCAUCACUUCAACCUCUACUUCCUUGUCACAUCUCCUUCUCUGACCUUGGCUCCUCUGCCUCCCUCUGAUAAGUACCCUUGUGAUUCGAUUUGGCUCACCCAGACAAUCUCCUCAGCUCAGAAUCCUCAUUUAAUCCCACCUGCAACAUAUGCAACCUCCCUUUAGCUAUGAGUGGUAACAUAGUCAUGAGUUCCGGGGAUCAGGAUGUGGACAUCUUUGAAGGAGGGCAUUAUUCUGUCUACCACAGGGACUGAAAUCUGAGAAGAUAUGACUAAGGAAGAACUCACGGAGAUGACAUUUGAGUAAAGACCUGAGGGAAUAAGGAAGUAUGCAGAUGCCUGGUGAGAGAGCCUUCCGGACAGAGGAAAAGGCAUGUGCAAGAGUCCUGAGGCCUAGCAGAAGCUACACCUGGACUCCGGCAGCCAAACAGGUGGAACUGGCUUUUGGAUUUUUCUACCCAGCUACCCCUUGUGGUGUACAGUAUAGUGAUUCAACACUUGGAUAUGAUAUCCGGUGCUCAUCACGAUUACUCUUGAAGGAAGACAAAACAGAGAAAAACAGCUGAGAAAUGGAGGAAGACGGAUUCCUGAUGAGACCACUUGAAUACUUGAAUCUAAGCAUGCCUGACAUCUUACCCAUCAAUUAGGAUGUCGCCAAAACCAUAUAUGUUGCCUGCAGGUGGUUUGUGCGUCACCAGAGGACGAUCUCUACUUAGAUUCUUGGGAGCCAUCUGUUUUCUGCAUAUAGAAAAAUGACAGGGACUCACUUUCCAAGAAAUUACACUAUGUUCAAUGACUUCCCAUCAAGAGUAAGCAAUGUUCCGUAUCCUGCCAUUGAUGGCAACUGAAAUAUCAACUCUUUUUUUGGACUGGGAGCCCACCACUGGUUCUCCUGCUUCUCAGGCCUUUGCACUUGGAGUAGAACUUACAUCAUCAAGCCUCCUGGGUCUCCAGUUGGCAAGACUGCAGAUUUGGGGACUUAGCCUCCAUAAUCAGAACGAAGGGGCCGAGAUUCAGAUUUUGCAGAGGAACCUCUGAAUUGCCAUUUCUGGAUGAGCAAGGAUUUAAGCUAAUGACUGUCAACUCGAUGAGGAGAGGGAGUGUAUCUGGCUUGUUCACCAGUGUAUCUCUAGAUUCCAAGACAGUGCUGAGUACAUGGCUGACUGCCUCACCUGACUACAGUUCCGUGCCAAAAGGAGCCUGGACUCUCCAGCCACUCCUGCACCUAGUACACCAUAGCCACUUGGACUGUCUGCUGAAGGAAUGAGCCUCUUUUCCGCAAGCCACCAGCAUGGGACUCCCAUGGGGUGGAGAAAUCCAUCUGAUGGCUCAGCAACACUGGCAACCUGCUGUGAGCCAGGCCCCGAGUGGUGCCCUGGAGCUGUGCCACCAGGAGAGGGAUCCUCUGCAGUUUUCCCUUCCUUCUUGUCCCAUUUGACACUUUUUGCUUUAAAAAUUACUAGGACUCCAGAAGAAAAAAAAAAAAAAAACAGAAACUGCAAAAUUCACGGCUCCCUGCAUCACAUGCUGUUACUCUGCGAGAUCUGGGUGGUUCUUAUAUCAAAGUUACCAGCCCUGCGGUAGGAACUCUCACAAAUCACUAGCCACAGAGUGGCCAACCUCAUUUGUCACUGCCAGAAGUGCCCAGUUAUCCAACAGCAGGCUGAUAAACAGGGAGAGCCCAGCCACCAGGCAUCCAUCUCGUUAAUGGGACGUUAAUGUCUUCAAUUGGCCGCCUGGGCCCCUAGCGCAGAAUCCAACUGGGGCAAUGUCUAAUUGCCCCCUGAUGCUAGUAAUUUAUGGAGUCGGCUCCCAUGGCAGCUUGAAUCCAGCCAAUCCAUUCGGAUCCUUAAUUGAAAAUGGUGGCUUAACAAGAAACCCUGCUCUGUAGGGCAUAGCGUGGCCAGGUGGGGCCAUGGGCAGGUGGAAAGGGAUCUGCAUGGACAGUAUAAGCAGGUGGGAUACUUGCACCACCCCCACCCCAGCCCUUCAAAAUACUCUGUAUUCUAAAACCAGGCUCUUCAUCCCUAACCCAGCAGCCAGACUCAGGGACAAUACUAAACUCCAGGGAUGCAUUUUUAGCUACUUGCGGGGAUGGGGAAGGCAAAAAUCAGGUGCUGGAGUUAGGGGUGGGCCAACUCUCACCCAGCUGGAUUGUGUUUCCCGUCCUGCAGUGUCCCCACCCAAGUGUGUGCGCUCCAUUCAGAAAUCAGAUUUGGUACCUCCAGAUGCCAUGUGUGUGGAACACAGUGGUGAACAACAGGGACAUGGUCCCAGCUUUUUCGUGGACAACCGACAAGUGAUCAGAGAAAUCAGCAAGAUGGUUUUGAAUAGUAAACGCUAAGAAAAUGAUAAAAUAGGUACAUGUCAAGUGGAGAAUGGACAC